Gorilla gorilla gorilla (western lowland gorilla) is the source of this 761-nucleotide long non-coding RNA. RefSeq lists it as uncharacterized. The transcript has 3 exons. The record is from RefSeq and is a predicted model, not a curated record. NCBI's taxonomy places the organism in Eukaryota, Metazoa, Chordata, Mammalia, Primates, Hominidae.
GGCAACCCGCUCGGGUCCCCUUCCACCCCGGAAGUUUUGUUCUUUCGCUUUUUGUAAUAAGUCAUGCUGUUGCUCACUGGGUCCACACUGCUCUUGUGAGCUGUAACACUCACCGCAAAAGUCUGCAGCUUGACUCCUGAGCCAGCGAGACCAGGAGCCCACCAGAAGGAAGAAACUCCGAACACAUCUGAAUAUCUUCUGGAAGGAACAAACUCCGGACGCGCUACCUUUAAAAACUGUAAUACUCACCGCAAGGGUCUGCGGUUUCAUUCAUGAAGUCAGUGAGACCAAGAACUCACCAAUUCCGGACACAGUGGGAGCAAAGGCAUGGCAGGAGGAGAAAACUGCGUGUGUGAGGAAUAAAAACAACAUGUUGCAAUUGAGGAAGGCGUGAAUUUAUGGGGAGAAUACAGAGAUGAAGACUUAAAACGAAUACUUGCUUCUGGAAUCCAGCGGCCAUGUUGUGAGGAAGCCCAAACUAGCCCAUGCCAAGACACCACAUGGCGAGGCCACAUGCAGAUCAGAGUCCCAGCCAGCAGUUAGCAUCGACCAGACAUGGUGUGUCUGCCUCUCCUGCUUUCCCUUCCACCUCUUCCACCUCUUCUGCCUCUGCCACCCCUAAGAGAGCAAGACCAAUCUCCUCUACCUCCUCCUCCUCAGUCUACUCAAUGUGAAGACAACAAAGAUGAGGAACUUCAUGACUGUCCAUUUUCACUUAAUGAAUAGUAAAUAUAUCUUCUCUUUCUUACAAUGUUCUUAAU